UACGUAGGUGGCAAGCGUUGUCCGGAUUUACUGGGUGUAAAGGGCGUGCAGCCGGGAAGACAAGUCAGAUGUGAAAUCCCGCGGCUCAACCGCGGAACUGCAUUUGAAACUGUUUUUCUUGAGUACCGGAGAGGUCAUCGGAAUUCCUUGUGUAGCGGUGAAAUGCGUAGAUAUAAGGAAGAACACCAGUGGCGAGGGCGGAUGACUGGACGGCAACUGACGGUGAGGCGCGAAAGCGUGGGGAGCAAACAGG
Molecule: ribosomal RNA, 253 nt
Filed under: uncultured bacterium
Lineage: Bacteria
Description: partial 16S ribosomal RNA
Rfam family: Bacterial small subunit ribosomal RNA
Source: RNAcentral